AAAUUGAAGAGUUUGAUCAUGGCUCAGAUUGAACGCUGGCGGCAGGCCUAACACAUGCAAGUCGAACGGUAAUAGGAAGCAGCU
This 84-nucleotide ribosomal RNA is filed under the name Salmonella enterica subsp. enterica serovar Kentucky. RNAcentral describes it as "partial 16S ribosomal RNA". It matches the Rfam family "Bacterial small subunit ribosomal RNA", at positions 1 to 84 of the family's 1533-position model. The record is from RNAcentral. Lineage: Bacteria; Pseudomonadati; Pseudomonadota; Gammaproteobacteria; Enterobacterales; Enterobacteriaceae.